AGCGCAGGCGGGAAACUAAGCGGAUCUUAAAAGUGCGGGGCUCAACCCCGUGAUGGGGUCCGAACUGGUUUUCUUGAGUGCAGGAGAGGAAAGCGGAAUUCCCAGUGUAGCGGUGAAAUGCGUAGAUAUUGGGAAGAACACCAGUGGCGAAGGCGGCUUUCUGGACUGUAACUGACGCUGAGGCUCGAAAGCUAGGGUAGGCGAACG
This 207-nucleotide ribosomal RNA is filed under the name uncultured bacterium. RNAcentral's name for it is "partial 16S ribosomal RNA". It matches the Rfam family "Bacterial small subunit ribosomal RNA", at positions 568 to 774 of the family's 1533-position model. The record is from RNAcentral.